GAUGAACGCUGGCGGCGUGCUUAACACAUGCAAGUCGAACGGGAAACAUUUUAUUGAAGCUUCGGCAGAUUUAGUUUGUUUCUAGUGGCGGACGGGUGAGUAACGCGUGGGUAACCUGCCUCACACUGGGGGAUAACAGUCAGAAAUGACUGCUAAUACCGCAUAAGCGCACGAGACCGCAAUGGUUUUUGUGUGAAAAACUCCGGUGGUGUGAGAUGGACCCGCGUUGGAUUAGCCAGUUGGCAGGUACGCCUACCAAGCGACGAUCCAUAGCCGGCCUGAGAGGGUGAACGGCACAUUGGGACCUGAGACACGGGCCCAGACUCCUACGGGAGGCAGCAGUGGGGAAUA
This 351-nucleotide ribosomal RNA is filed under the name uncultured bacterium. RNAcentral describes it as "bacterial SSU rRNA". It matches the Rfam family "Bacterial small subunit ribosomal RNA", at positions 28 to 363 of the family's 1533-position model. The record is from RNAcentral.